UACGAAGGGGGCUAGCGUUGUUCGGAAUUACUGGGCGUAAAGCGCGCGCAGGCGGCUUUGUCAGUCAGAGGUGAAAUCCCGGGGCUCAACCCCGGCAUGGCCUUUGAUACUGCGGAGCUAGAGGUCGAGAGAGGGUGGCGGAAUAUCCAGUGUAGAGGUGAAAUUCGUAGAUAUUGGAUGGAACACCAGUGGCGAAGGCGGCCACCUGGCUCGAUACUGACGCUGAGGCGCGAAAGCGUGGGGAGCAAACAGG
This 253-nucleotide unclassified non-coding RNA is filed under the name uncultured Alphaproteobacteria bacterium. RNAcentral describes it as "contains 16S-23S intergenic spacer region". It matches the Rfam family "Bacterial small subunit ribosomal RNA", at positions 524 to 776 of the family's 1533-position model. Lineage: Bacteria; Pseudomonadati; Pseudomonadota; Alphaproteobacteria. The record is from RNAcentral.